RNAcentral lists this long non-coding RNA (726 nucleotides) under Phoenix dactylifera (date palm). Its description in RNAcentral is "long non-coding RNA (PDAC_LNC013307)". Lineage: Eukaryota; Viridiplantae; Streptophyta; Magnoliopsida; Arecales; Arecaceae. The record is from RNAcentral.
UCGACUCUCUCAGAGGCGGCAGAAAGGCCGAUUUCAAGGGAUGCGCGCGAGUCGUCUCCGAAGGACGCGGAGUCGUCCCCACGAGUAAAAAGCGGACUUUCCGAGACGUCCCCAGAGAGCGCCGAGUCGACUCUCUCAGGGGAUUCCAGAGGACGUGUUUUUCGGUGAUACAACUACGGAGUCGUCCCCGACGUCGCGGAGUCGUCCCCAUGCAAAAAGCGCAAAAAUCCCGAGACGUCCCCGUAAAGUACCGAGCCGACUCUCUCAGAAAAACAGAAGAACAAGCAUUCAAGCCGUUCUUCUUCAGAGUCGUCCCCGUAAAAGUGCCCGAGUCGACUCCAAACAACNNNNNNNNNNNNNNNNNNNNNNNNAGACGUCUCGUGUCGAAGCGGAGACGUCUCGUGUCGAAGCGGAGACGUCUCCGGAGCGCCUGGAACGCGACUGACACACUUUUUCAGGUAAAUUUGAAUUUCAAACGGUCAUAUUUUUGUGUCUAACGGAUCUAUUGCUUUUUGGGCUAUAAAAGGGAGCUUUUAAGUGCCUUCCAACAACUUCUCACCAAUCCAACACAAGAUCAUUCAAGAGAGAAGAAAGAAAAAGAGGUUCAAGGGAGUUAGAGCUUUCAAGAGGAGAAAUCAAGUGCAUUCAAGCUUUCCCAUCUGAUUUCGUGCUCAACUACUCACUCCCACUUGGCAUUCAAAGCUCACAUUCAAGCCAACGCGAUCC